GAAGAGAGAGGAAAUGUGUGCAGAGA
RNAcentral lists this non-coding RNA (26 nucleotides) under Homo sapiens (human). The record is from RNAcentral. Lineage: Eukaryota; Metazoa; Chordata; Mammalia; Primates; Hominidae.